UACGGAGGGUGCGAGCGUUAUUCGGAAUUACUGGGCGUAAAGCGCGUGCAGGCGGGGGAGGUGGUCUGAUGUGAAAGCCCGGGGCUUAACCCCGGAAGAGCAUUGGAAACUUUUCUUCUUGAGUUUCGGAGAGGAAGGGGGAAUUCCCGGUGUAGAGGUGAAAUUCGUAGAGAUCGGGAGGAACACCAGUGGCGAAGGCGCCCUUCUUGACGACAACUGACGCUGAGACGCGAAAGCGUGGGGAGCAAACAGG
RNAcentral lists this ribosomal RNA (253 nucleotides) under uncultured bacterium. RNAcentral's name for it is "partial 16S ribosomal RNA". It matches the Rfam family "Bacterial small subunit ribosomal RNA", at positions 524 to 776 of the family's 1533-position model. The record is from RNAcentral.